RNAcentral lists this ribosomal RNA (253 nucleotides) under uncultured bacterium. RNAcentral describes it as "partial 16S ribosomal RNA". It matches the Rfam family "Bacterial small subunit ribosomal RNA", at positions 524 to 776 of the family's 1533-position model. The record is from RNAcentral.
GACGAACCGUACGAACGUUAUUAGGAAUCACUGGGCUUAAAGGGUGUGUAGGCGGCGCUGAAAGUUGGGUGUGAAAUCCCUCGGCUUAACCGAGGAAUUGCGCCCAAAACUACAGUGCUUGAGGGAGAUAGAGGUGAGUGGAACUUAGGGUGGAGCGGUGAAAUGCGUUGAUAUCCUAAGGAACUCCAGUGGCGAAAGCGACUCACUGGGUCUUCUCUGACGCUGAGGCACGAAAGCUAGGGUAGCGAACGGG